RNAcentral lists this long non-coding RNA (351 nucleotides) under Bos mutus (wild yak). Its description in RNAcentral is "lncRNA (ENSBMUG00000006967.1)". The record is from RNAcentral. Lineage: Eukaryota; Metazoa; Chordata; Mammalia; Artiodactyla; Bovidae.
UCUGCGACUGCGAGGAGCGAGCCGAGGUGUGCGAGGCGCGGGCAGACUUCCCCGGAGUUGCCCCAGGGAACUCUCAUUUGGGGUAAGCUCCCAAGCCAUGGUACUGCCGAAUCCAAGGAGAUGAUGUUGCAACCUGGAAGCAGUUGGUCCUCACCUCCCUGACACAUGGAAAGCAAAAACUCUUUCUCCUGAUUCACCAGAAAAACACUGACCACCAUCUUCGCUGCGAGGAGGUUGGCAGAGUCUUAGGAACUAAAGCCUUUAAACAAUCAGGGACCUCAUGUCUCUAGAAUAAGAACACACCAGAAGCCCCUUGUGCUGGGACUGGAGGUAAGUACUCCUGAUGAAAAU